GGGCUCACACAAGCGGUGGAGGAUGUGGCUUAAUUCGAGGCUACGCGAAGAACCUUAUCCUGGUCUUGACAUGCUUGGGAAUACCCUGGAAACAGGGUAGUGCCUUUCGGGGAACCCUUGCACAGGUGCUGCAUGGCUGUCGUCAGCUCGUGUCGUGAGAUGUCGGGUUAAGUCCCUUAACGAGCGAAACCCUUGUGUCUAGUUGCCAGCGGGUAAUGCCGGGGACUCUAGACAGACUGCCGGUGUUAAACCGGAGGAAGGUGGGGAUGACGUCAAGUCCUCAUGGCCUUAUGAUCAGGGCUGCACACGUCCUACAAUCCGUCGAACAAGGAAGCGAACUCGCGAGAGCGAGCAAAUCCCAAAAAGCGGCGGUCAGUUCGGAUUGCAGGCUGCAACUCGCCUGCAUGAAGCCGGAAUCGCUAGUAA
RNAcentral lists this ribosomal RNA (426 nucleotides) under uncultured bacterium. RNAcentral's name for it is "bacterial SSU rRNA". It matches the Rfam family "Bacterial small subunit ribosomal RNA", at positions 917 to 1341 of the family's 1533-position model. The record is from RNAcentral.